AUACGGAGGGGGCUAGCGUUGUUCGGAAUUACUGGGCUUAAAGAGUACGUAGGCGGACAAACAGGCAUUUUGUGAAAUCCCUCGGCUCAACCGAGGAAUUGCUUGGUGAACCGUUUGUCUUGAGGCGAGUAGGGGCUGUCGGAACGAUAGGUGGAGCGGUGAAAUGCGUUGAUAUCUAUCGGAACGCCAAAGGCGAAGGCAGACAGCUGGGCUUGUUCUGACGCUGAGGUACGAAAGCGUGGGGAGCGAACGGGAUUAGAAACCCCGGUAGUCC
This 274-nucleotide ribosomal RNA is filed under the name uncultured bacterium. RNAcentral describes it as "partial 16S ribosomal RNA". It matches the Rfam family "Bacterial small subunit ribosomal RNA", at positions 523 to 796 of the family's 1533-position model. The record is from RNAcentral.